Molecule: ribosomal RNA, 813 nt
Filed under: uncultured marine bacterium
Lineage: Bacteria
Description: bacterial SSU rRNA
Rfam family: Bacterial small subunit ribosomal RNA
Source: RNAcentral
GCAUGCAAGUUGAGCGAGGCUUUUUGGUAGUUUACUACUAGAAAUGACUGAGCGGCGAACGGGUGAGUAACGCGUGAGCAAUCUACCCUAGUUACUGGGAUAGCCCGAGGAAACUCGGAUUAAUACCGGAUAUUCUUAUUUUUUCACAUGAAGUUUUAAGGAAAGGUCAGCCGAACUAAGAUGAGCUCGCGUUCUAUCAGCUAGUUGGUGGGGUAAAAGCCUACCAAGGCUACGACGGAUAGCUGGUCUGAGAGGACGAUCAGCCACACUGGGACUGAGACACGGCCCAGACUCCUACGGGAGGCUGCAGCAGGGAAUAUUGUGCAAUGAGCGAAAGCUUGACACAGCGACACCGCGUGUGGGAUGACGGUUCUAGGAUUGUAAACCACUUUCAGGAGGGAAGAAAAUGACGGUACCUCCACAAGAAGACCCGGCCAACUAUGUGCCAGCAGCCGCGGUAAUACAUAGGGGUCAAGCGUUGUCCGGAUUUAUUGGGCGUAAAGAGCUCGUAGGCGGUUCAACAAGUCGGUCGUAAAAGUUUAGGGCUCAACCCUAAAAUGUCGAUCGAUACUGUUGUGACUAGGAUACGGUAGAGGUGAAUGGAAUUCCGAGUGUAGCGGUGAAAUGCGUAGAUAUUCGGAGGAACACCAAUUGCGAAGGCAGUUCACUGGACCGUGAUCGACGCUGAGGAGCGAAAGCUAGGGGAGCAAACAGGAUUAGAUACCCUGGUAGUCCUAGCUGUAAACGAUGGAUACUAGAUGUAGGAACUGGAUUGACGGUUUCUGUAUCGUAGCUAACGCGUUAAGUAUCCCG